CACCUGCUUCCCUUCAGCUUGGUUGUGUCCCUGCCUCUCUCCUUGCUACCCUUCCUGGACCCUCAUCCUCUCCUAUAAUAAGCCUGGUUGGAUCCUCAGCAGCGUGUGUGAAGCCCUCCUUCGUCAUCUGGCUGACAUCUUCUGUCCCUGGAUCUCUUCGAGACUGAAGAAAUAAAGACUCUUCGUGGAACUCCACAGGAGGACCCAGUCUCCUUCUUCUGUGUCACGUGGAUUCACAAAAGAGCUAGAUCACUUGCUAAGAGCGCAGACAUGCCUGUGCUCCCGGGACGUCCUUCUAAGGACACUUCUCAGGGAAGGUCGCGACACUCCUAGCACUGCCUGUCACGGCAAAAUCUGUUUUCUACUUGGUUUAGAUGUAGUUUGUUUAAUGUGUUCAUUGUACCUGUUAAGUGUUGUAGGGAAGCAAUAGGGAAGUGAGGUUGAAGACAUAACCAAAAAAGAAUAAAAAAAAUGACAGAGAAGGGGACAGAAGAAUAGGCAGGUGGGAGAGAGUGUAAGAGUGUAAGUUCCUGAGUACCCAGACAACAGGAAAGAGGACAGGGACUGCUACAGUUGGGAGAGGGUAUACAAGUUGCCAUUUUGUUGGAGGGUGUCUGUGUUUACUUUUAGAGGGAAAAACAUGCACGCGACUCAGCUGACUCAGUACAAAUAAACAAUUAUCCUUUGUUUCGGAGACUUUGUCCCCACUUAACUGUAUCCAAAAGCGAGUUUGUUUCCAGCAAUUUGGGGACUCAUUCAGGAUCCUUGACCUCUGACCCUGCAGAGCAGGACAAUGGGAGUAGAAGGUAUACCCUGCUAAUUUCAGCAAUGCCAACCUGUUGUCAUACCCCAUGAGGGCUGCAGGUGAGACCUGGAGAGGGGAGUCUCAAAGCAAAAACAAAGGCAAAGGAAGGUAGGGAGAGGGAAGAGUUUAUGUGUGUCAGCUGGUAACACCUGUGCAGAGGACCCAGUUAAGAAAGUGACUGUUAAAUAUUACUUGAGUGGCUGGGAGGAGCAGGACUGGUGUGUAUGCUUGAGAUGCAGAAUUGCCUGUGGAGUCCUAACUAGGGUUCUGUUAUUCUGCAAGGGAUAAAGCCAGUGAAAGGACAAAGUGAAUCAUUCCUGAAAAAAUUAAUCAUGAGGGGAAUACUCUGAAAUGGGAAAUAGCUGCAGCGAGAAGGUUAGGAGGAGUGGAGAGGAACUCAGGGACUCUACUUUGAACAUAGCUCCAGAAAGUCCUUUGGGGACGAUGCUCAGAGACUGGGGACAAAAGUACCUGGCUUUUACCCAGGGGAAAGAUCAGGGAAAGAUGGUCCAAAAAUGUAUGUUUGAGUGAACCAAAGAACCCAUUAGACCAGAUCUCUUGCACUGUCAAGAUGUGGGUCUUUUUAAGAUUGGAUAUGUCAGAAUUUAAAUAUCUAUGUGAAAACAAAAGAACUUCACAAUAUAGAACAAAGGGAUUAUGCUGCUUGUUGGAAAAGAUAUUCAUCCCUAUUUGUAAACAAGAAAGGUUAGAGUUAGGGUUAUGUUGUCUUGUGUUUUUAUAUUUGUGUCUUUGUAUCCCUGUUCUCUCCUAAUAGCUUACCCCAAGCUGUUUCCCUCCUCCCCUGUGUCAAUCCUCCCUACUCUCCACCUACCACCCUGAGUUCUGCUGAGUUGUUCCCCAGUCUCCUCCCUGGAUCUCUAUCAGUCAACUCGGUCUCCAGUCCCCUCUGUCCAGAACCUUCCAUCAGGGGCGUUGAGUGACUGGACAAAGGCCAGGGCCCUCCCUCAAAGUGUUUCCCAAUUUGUGGCCCCUCAUGCCUAUCACCCUGGUUUCCACAACCCCAAGUUCCCCCUUGGCUGACGUGUGAAUCCCUCCCUUGUUUCCAGCCCCCUUUAAAAGCUACUCUUGAAGUACAGUCAAGGCCCUUCACAGCUGGUCACCCUGAGGUGCGGAGCUCCUCGGAGUUUUAGAAUAAACCUUGGAUUGCACCCCUGCCAAGAGUCGGCUCCCUUUUCCUCUGCCACUGCCUGCCAGCACUUCCUCUGCCACAGGGCUAACAACCCUGUGGGAGGGGACCCGAAGGAAAGUGGGGCAGGGAUGCCAUGGGAGGACACGCGUGUCUAGAUGCCAAUCAGCCAUGGCUCCCACCCCAGUUCUAGCAAGUUCCAUGUUCCUCCCUUCCCCAUUGGAUUGUACUGUGAGAUUACCCUCUUCCCCUACUCCCAUUGGUGUACCCCUCAUCACCUUAUCUCGGCUCCUCCUCUGACCUCUCUCCUCAUUGGUUCCCUGCUCCCUGGCCCUACCUGCCUGCUCCAUGUUAUAAAUCCUGGCCCCACCCCUGUUCUGGACUCCACCACCAGCCUUCCUUCAACUGCAGUUGUGUUCCUGCCUCUCUCCUUACCUCUACCCUUCCUGGACCCUUUACCCUCAAUAAACCUGGUUGGACCCUA
Haemorhous mexicanus (house finch) is the source of this 2436-nucleotide long non-coding RNA. RefSeq lists it as uncharacterized. The transcript is spliced from 2 exons. NCBI's taxonomy places the organism in Eukaryota, Metazoa, Chordata, Aves, Passeriformes, Fringillidae. The record is from RefSeq and is a predicted model, not a curated record.